Colossoma macropomum (tambaqui) is the source of this 513-nucleotide long non-coding RNA. RefSeq lists it as uncharacterized. NCBI's taxonomy places the organism in Eukaryota, Metazoa, Chordata, Actinopteri, Characiformes, Serrasalmidae. The transcript is spliced from 3 exons. The record is from RefSeq and is a predicted model, not a curated record.
GCCGGCCGAUUUUGACCAAACGCCACACUGAGAAUCCUGCUUGAAGAGAAUCAGCCCUGUGGAAAGAUGAAACCUACAGCAGUGCUUGUUGUUGUGCUACUUCUGGUGUUAGCCUUUCACUGUGAGAACAGUCUGGUUUAUGGAACGUGCUGCAGAAGUGGAAGUGGAGUUUGUAAAACAUUUUCUGAAUGUCAGAAAAUAGGGGGAACCCUUCUUAGCAGCAACGAAUGUGGUUACAAUAAUGGAUGCUGCAUAUAGCAUCUCACGGGAAAAGAAGACCGAUGGCUUCACUUUUUCACCGACGCUUCAUGAAGAAUUUCUUCUAACUAUAAUUAAUAAUUAAUUCUGCAUUUCCAUACAUAGGGAUGCUCGUGAAGUGGUGAUUUGAUGGUGUUUUUCUUGCAUCAACUAAAUGUUUUAGUUAAUGUAGUUUAAGGUCAUUUUUUGAUCCCUGCAGUCAAAAAUGUCUUUAUUCAACUGAAAGCAAAUAAAAUCUUUCCUUAUUGAAACUUU